RNAcentral lists this ribosomal RNA (363 nucleotides) under uncultured bacterium. Its description in RNAcentral is "bacterial SSU rRNA". It matches the Rfam family "Bacterial small subunit ribosomal RNA", at positions 29 to 412 of the family's 1533-position model. The record is from RNAcentral.
AGCGAACGCUGGCGGCAGGCUUAACACAUGCAAGUCGAGCGGGCGUAGCAAUACGUCAGCGGCAGACGGGUGAGUAACGCGUGGGAACGUACCUUUUGGUUCGGAACAACCCAGGGGAAACUUGGGCUAAUACCGGAUAAAGCCCUUACGGGGAAAGAUUUAUCGCCGAAAGAUCGGCCCGCGUCUGAUUAGCUAGUUGGUGAGGUAACGGCUCACCAAGGCGACGAUCAGUAGCUGGUCGAGAGGAUGAUCAGCCACAUUGGGACUGAGACACGGCCCAAACUCCGUACGGGAGGCAGCAGGUAGGGGAAUAUUGGACAAGUGGGCGCAAGCCUGAUCCAGCCAUGCCGCGUGAGUGAUGAA